This 253-nucleotide ribosomal RNA is filed under the name uncultured bacterium. RNAcentral describes it as "partial 16S ribosomal RNA". It matches the Rfam family "Bacterial small subunit ribosomal RNA", at positions 524 to 776 of the family's 1533-position model. The record is from RNAcentral.
UACGUAGGGUGCGAGCGUUAAUCGGAAUUACUGGGCGUAAAGCGUGCGCAGGCGGCGCGUUAAGACAGGUGUGAAAGCCCCGAGCUUAACUUGGGAAUUGCGCUUGUGACUGGCGUGCUGGAGUGUGGCAGAGGGAGGUGGAAUUCCACGUGUAGCAGUGAAAUGCGUAGAGAUGUGGAGGAACACCGAUGGCGAAGGCAGCCUCCUGGGCCAACACUGACGCUCAUGCACGAAAGCGUGGGGAGCAAACGGG